UACGUAGGCAGCAAGCGUUGUUCGGAAUUACUGGGCGUAAAGAGUGUGUAGGCGGUGCUCCAAGUCUGGUGUGAAAUCUCCCGGCUUAACUGGGAGGGUGCAUUAGAAACUGGAAUGCUAGAGGAUGGGAGAGGUAAGCGGAAUUCCUGGUGUAGCGGUGAAAUGCGUAGAUAUCAGGAAGAACACCCGUGGCGAAGGCGGCUCUCUGGGACGGUACUGACGCUGAGACGCGAAAGCGUGGGGAGCGAACAGG
Molecule: ribosomal RNA, 253 nt
Filed under: uncultured bacterium
Lineage: Bacteria
Description: partial 16S ribosomal RNA
Rfam family: Bacterial small subunit ribosomal RNA
Source: RNAcentral